RNAcentral lists this ribosomal RNA (445 nucleotides) under uncultured bacterium. Its description in RNAcentral is "bacterial SSU rRNA". It matches the Rfam family "Bacterial small subunit ribosomal RNA", at positions 92 to 518 of the family's 1533-position model. The record is from RNAcentral.
CUAGUGGCGAACGGGUGGAGUAACACGUAAGGCAAUCUGUCCUAAAGACUUGGGAGUAACAGACUGGAAACGGACUGAUAAUACCGGAUAACAAAUAGAAUCGCAUGAUUUAUUUUGAAAGACGCAAAUGUGUCACUUUUGGAGGAGCCUGCGGCGCAUUAGAUAGUUGGUGAGGUAACGGCCCACCAAGUCGAUGAUGCGUAGCUGCGCUGAGAGGCGAAACAGCCACAUUGGGACUGAGAACGGCCCAAACUCCUACGGGAGGCAGCAGUAGGGAAUUUUCGGCAAUGGGGGAAACCCUGACCGAGCAAUGCCGCGUGAAUGAUGAACCGAUCUUCGGAUUGUAAAGUUCUGUUGUAGAGGACGAAUGGUAGGUAGAGUGGAAUGUUAUCUAUUUGACGGUACUUUACUAGAAAGCCCCGGCUAACUAUGUGCCAGCCGCUGC